RNAcentral lists this unclassified non-coding RNA (375 nucleotides) under uncultured bacterium. RNAcentral describes it as "contains 16S-23S intergenic spacer region". The record is from RNAcentral.
UCCGGUUUGUCACCGGCAGUCUCCCUAGAGUGCCCUUGCGUAGCAACUAGGGACAAGGGUUGCGCUCGUUGCGGGACUUAACCCAACAUCUCACGACACGAGCUGACGACAGCCAUGCAGCACCUGUGCACGCUUCCCUUGCGGGAUCGUUACCCUUUCAGGCUUCUACCACGUGCAUGUCAAGGCCAGGUAAGGUUCUUCGCGUUGCAUCGAAUUAAGCCACAUACUCCACCGCUUGUGCAGGCCCCCGUCAAUUUCUUUGAGUUUUAAUCUUGCGACCGUACUCCCCAGGCGGCACGUUUAGCGCGUUAGCUUCGCCACAAAAGGGGUCGAUUCCUCUUACAGCAAACGUGCACCGUUUACAGCUAGGACUAC